RNAcentral lists this long non-coding RNA (2985 nucleotides) under Mus pahari (shrew mouse). Its description in RNAcentral is "iroquois homeobox 3, opposite strand (MGP_PahariEiJ_G0005169.1)". Lineage: Eukaryota; Metazoa; Chordata; Mammalia; Rodentia; Muridae. The record is from RNAcentral.
UUCCUCUUCGUCCUCCUCCUCCCGCUCGCUCCCAUAAGCAUUGCCCUCCUCGUCCGUGCGACUACGGGGAGCCCACGUCAUCUUGUUCUCCUUCUUGAGGCGCCGGCGCGCAUUGGCGAACCAGAAGGGAAAGGAAAACAAAACGCAGCAUCACACACCAUCACCACACAAGAACCUCUGAGAUGCUCUUUCCUUAUUGCAUUAACCAGCUAUCGACCUGGUUGUGUCCAAUUGCGAUUGCGGACUGAGAGAAAGAACACCGGAAGAGCCAGGCUGUUCUCAGGAAGGACUCACGCCGACCAGGGGGGCCGCCCCUGGCCCAGAGGGUGAACCUCUAGACCCAGGCACAGCGCACAAAACGCUCGCCGCGGACACUCUGUGGUCUGGGCUCAGGGCACCAGGAGCAUACAGAAAAGGUGUACGCCGAGGACACGUGGCGCGUUGGAGGACAACUACAAGCGGUGCCCGAUGCCAGAGGCCCACCAGCUUCGGGGUCGGACACUCCGAACCAGCAGCCCCCAUCUUUUCCCCUUCCCUGGUCCAGCUCCCAGAGGUGCCUGUGUCCCCCGUCGUUGGGAGCCUCUGUAGCCUUGUGUCUCCCAGCCCGGACAGAGUUCAGUCCUUUCCUCCCAAGGCUCAGAGUCCCCCAGAGGCGGUGCGGGCUGGCUAUCCUUCAGCUUCCUGCAGAGGCUGCUGAGUACGCUGCCCCCCCCCCCCCCAGCUGGGGUUACAGCAGCCACACGGUCUUGCAGAUGCAUGGCCUGGCGAAGCACCGGGAGGAAUUCACAUUUGACUGUGAAUCUGGCAUCCCAGGAGGCGCGGGCCGGGCGCCGGCACGUCUGCCGCGCAACGCUGGCUGAGCCCUGUAAGCCGUCAGGGCCCGGGAGGCUGUCCCUGGUCCAGAGGCUCUACUGGAAACUUUGGGGCAAACUUUGCAAACUUCUUUCUCCGAGUUAAGAGAGGCCGCCGGUCAGAAAUGCUGCGGCGGCGGCAGCAUGGGCUCCAGGCCGGAUUUGUACACCGCCGAACUGGCCCUGCGGCCCCAGAAGGAGCGCGAGGCUCUCCAGCGUGCCUAUCCGUGCCUGCACCUCCCGGACCAGGGCCCCUGCCAUUGGCCUUCGAGUGGCCAGCUCUACGUGGUUCCCGGAAUCUCUGCAUGGAAGGAAAACCGUGGCCCUGUGCACCAGUGGUUUUAUUUCUCUUUUUUCUCUGCAAAAACAUCCAGUUUCCACCUGCGCCGAGCUUUUUCGCUGAUCUUUUUUUUUUCUUUUCCGUCCUGUCUAUUUCUCACACUUUCUGUAUGUUUGAUUUCCGGGGAUGUAUUUUUCUCUUUCUUUGAGUCCAAGUGUGUUGUUUGAUCCUUUUUUAAAAAUUAUUUUUCUGGACCGUUUUCUUAAAGUUCAUUCUUUUUUGCCUCCCCUUUCUGUGUCUCUGCCCCCCUCUUCCUCGGUUUCAUCUUCUUCCUUUUCUCCCUCCCUCUCUUAUCCCAUCUGCCCUAUUUCAAUCUUGAUCUAUCCCAGACUCUCCUUUGCUGGUUUCUUCUCUCUUCCUUUCCUCUGCAGUCUGUCCCCUCCCCCGCCCGUGGAUCUGCUUCUCCGGCAUCCCCUCCCUCCUCAUCCAUCUUGGGAGAUGAAUAUGUCGCCUUAUUGGAUGCGGAGGCCAAAGCAGGGCAAUGGGGCUCGGCCAACGCCGCACAUUUUCUUCAUGCAUAUUGAGAAUAUGGUAAUGAGCGCGUUUUGCAUUGUUGCAUGGAAAUGAUGCGACUCCCUCUGCGGUGCGGAAUGGGCAAGGUUGGUGUGGACCCAAGAGAGCUCGGAAGUAGGGACCGGGCUUGGUGGCCCUAGUGACCCACCGGGGGACGAGGACGUGACCUCUAGAAGCGGCCGGCCCUCCCUCCGCCUGCUCUGGCUUCCAGAAAGGCGUUGCUACGGGGUUAAACCUUGGAGAAGGGAAGCCAGCCUUGCUCGCCUGGCUGUCGCGUCCCUGGUCCGGGCCUGAAAACCCUCUCUCCGCUGUUUAGAGUUCUGGGAAGGAGAGUCUAUGUUCUCUAAUGGCUACACAUUGUUUGCAAUUCGAGUGAUCCUUUAGGAUGAAACAUAGCCCUUGCGCCACGCUUGUCUCCGGCGGGCGGGUGGACAUCCUUUGCCCCGCCAGGUUGAACUCUGGCCAGUUGGCCCUCGGGGACCCACUUCCUUUCUAGACGGGCUCAGUGGAGAUAAGAUUGAACCCCCCAGUUGUCCAACAGAGGUGGCUCUUCCCUGAGGCCAGCCAAGUUCAGGUGAAGGGACCCAGGGCCUGCAGAAGGGUGAAAUUCUGUUGAAGCAGGCCAGGCUCUGCCUGGGACUGGGAAGGAAGAAGUGUUACACUUGCUGGGAGCUCAGAGCCCCGGAACCCAUAUUUAGCAGUCAAACCUCACCACAGCUCACCUCAGGACAUUUUCCUGCCUCCUUCUCCCCCAUUUCCUACUAGGGAAGUCCCUAGCAGGGGCUCCAGGGCCGAAAUGCAUUGUGGAAAGGCAGUGCUGAAUAGGGUCAGGUUUCCCAACCUUCCAGCAUUCUGCCUGUGGCUAAGGACGGAAGAGUUUCGCUUAAACUGAGUCCUUUUCAAAACUCAAGUGCCUCGUUCAGUAAAAGUGUUUGAUCCGUCCCCUACUUCGGCAAACUGGAAAGUAGCUGUUAGCAGAAAGGGGACCUAGCUAGGAGCCUUGCAUCAUCCCACUUGGGGUUCAAGUGCUUCCUGCGUUAUUAACAAGCGUGCUGUGGGUGUGUGAGUAGUGACUCCUGGAAGACAAGAGCAUACAAAACGAAUGUUUCUUCCUUGGUCCUCUUAUGACUUAAAAUGAUGUCAGGGGUCUCAAGGGCUGUCCUGGCUUGCGGCUUGGUGGUGGCGUUUUCUGCUAAAAAACCAGUGUGAAAAUGUUUAAGGCAAAAACAACGUGCUGUAUUAUUAUUACUAGCAAAUAAGCUGAUUUAAACGUUUUCCAGG